GAUGAAGAACGCAGCGAAAUGCGAUAAGUAAUGUGAAUUGCAGAAUUCAGUGAAUCAUCGAAUCUUUGAACGCACAUUGCGCCCUCUGGUAUUCCGGGGGGCAUGCCUGUUCGAGCGUCAUUAUAACCACUCAAGCUCUCGCUUGGUAUUGGGGCUCGCGGUUCCGCGGCCCCUAAAAUCAGUGGCGGUGCCUGUCGGCUCUACGCGUAGUAAUACUCCUCGCGAUUGAGUCCGGUAGGUCUACUUGCCAGCAACCCCCAAUUUUUACAGGUUGACCUCGGAUCAGAUAGGAUUACCCGCUGAACUUAAGCAUAUCAAUAAGCGGAGGA
This 329-nucleotide unclassified non-coding RNA is filed under the name soil metagenome. RNAcentral's name for it is "partial contains 5.8S ribosomal RNA, internal transcribed spacer 2, and large subunit ribosomal RNA". The stretch from base 1 to 120 matches the Rfam family "5.8S ribosomal RNA", at positions 35 to 154 of the family's 154-position model. The record is from RNAcentral.